ACGGAGGGUGCAAGCGUUAUUCGGAAUUACUGGGCGUAAAGAGCGUGCAGGCGGAUAUAUAAGUCAGAAGUGAAAUCCCAUAGCUUAACCAUUGAACUGCUUUUGAAACUGUAUAUCUUGAAUGUGGGAGAGGUAGAUGGAAUUUCUGGUGUAGGGGUAAAAUCCGUAGAGAUCGGGAGGAAUACCGAUUGCGAAGGCGAUCUACUGGAACAUUAUUGACGCUGAGACGCGAAAGCGUGGGGAGCAAACAG
This 251-nucleotide ribosomal RNA is filed under the name uncultured prokaryote. RNAcentral describes it as "partial 16S rRNA". It matches the Rfam family "Bacterial small subunit ribosomal RNA", at positions 525 to 775 of the family's 1533-position model. The record is from RNAcentral.